UUCAAAAUGACUGCACACGGCAUUUGCAUUCUUCACGAUUGUAUGUAGCAUUACUUCUAUCCAAAUCCCUUGAAACAUGAAAAAACUAGCUACCCCUGCAUAUGGCGUGGAAAGGAUUGAUUUAUUGACAUCAAGACAUUCUUCCUUCAUUUUUGAUUUCCUUCAACAUGUUCUUCUUGUGGUGGAAGUAAGUCUGGUUCGUUGAAUGAGAGGCCCCUAGACAAAGAUAUCAUACUCGGGGUCCUAGGAUGGUAUGCUGAGAUCCUUUUUCCCUUGCCAUCAUAAAUAACAGCAUCUUCCUCGUCCGGUACUUUACAUUUUUCCCCUAAUAUAAUCGUCUUCAUCCAAAUAGAGUCCUCCAUCUUCAACUCCUCUUUCCUCUGACGAUUUUCCUCCCUUCUUGCCAAUGACAAGCUUCUUGGAAGUUUUAUACUUAAAUUCAUCGAUGCUUUUCGGUAAGACGAGCUUUUGUAGGUGGAGAAGGAGAUGUCAUUGUCAUUGUCAUUGUAAUUGCUGUUGAAUCAACCAAACCUGGCUUUUCUGCCGUUUCAAAUGGAGGGGGAGCUGAAGAAGGAGGUGAUGUUCUUUUCCUAAACCGAGAUCCACAUAGAGCUGUGAUCGUAGCAAUGGCUGCUGCUAUCCCUACAACUAGGAGUGAAAAUGAGAGCAAUGGAUGUAUUAAUGGCUUCUCAUUCAAAGGGAUUCUCCUUCCCAUGACUAAAACAUCCAAAGAAAGAUAAUGCAAACUUGUGACCUCUCUUUCUUUGGAUUUUCUCACUUGUCUGCUCUCUCUAUAUGCUCUUUAUUUAUUUAUUUUCUUUCUGAUGUUUGAAAAUGGUGCAACGAGGUUGUUUGGAUCUUGGUAAAGGAAAAAAAUUUAGUCUGAAAAUGAAGGUGGGUGUUUUUGUUCCUUCUUGGUCUCUAUAGGAGUAUCCGAAACAAUUUGCUUGAAUUUAGGAAUUGAGAGGACAUAAGAAGAGGAGGGGAGGAAGAGUCAUACUAUUCUGAGGCUUUCAAGACUUUGUAUUUUGGCCAAAGCAAGACCAUUCAGACGGUUAAGUUAGUUAAACCAUUCAUCUAUAUAUAUCUUU
Molecule: RNA transcript, 1091 nt
Organism: Juglans microcarpa x Juglans regia
Lineage: Eukaryota; Viridiplantae; Streptophyta; Magnoliopsida; Fagales; Juglandaceae
Exons: 2
Source: RefSeq, a predicted model, not a curated record